RNAcentral lists this long non-coding RNA (465 nucleotides) under Trifolium pratense (red clover). Its description in RNAcentral is "long non-coding RNA (TPRA_LNC001867)". Lineage: Eukaryota; Viridiplantae; Streptophyta; Magnoliopsida; Fabales; Fabaceae. The record is from RNAcentral.
AUAAAUAUUAUAAAAGAGAAAAAAAAGAUACAAAAUUUUGGAGGACUAGACCAAAAUUCAAGUGGGAACUAGACAAAUGACAACUGCCUCAUUAAAAAUCUUACCUGUAAAAUUCAAAGGGAAAAACCAAUUAAGUGGGGAUCUAUGUUCAGGAAAAUAAAAUCUAUUUCUAGAAAGAAAAAAAACAUUACACAUAUUAUGAGGUAUAGUAUCCCACGAUUGGAAGUCGAAAAUAUGCAAACUAAUAUUAGCAAGAACAUCAUCUCAUUGAUUUUCUUCCCUAAAAUAUGAGAAAUAAUAAACAUCAUCUUUUUUGUAAGAUCGACACAACUCAACCAACGAUUCCGAACACGCCAAAGAAUCAUAUCAGAAUUGCGGAAAACUAAAGUCACCGCGAGAGAAUCCGUUUCCGACCAAAGUUGAUGUCAUCCACUAGAGUAGGAAGUUUCAAUAGCAAUCAUUACA